GGGUUUACUGUUUCGAGGGAUUUUACUUACAUUGAUGAUAUAGUGAAGGGCUGUUUAGGUGCACUGGAUACUGCUACCAAGAGUACUGGAAGUGGCGGGGUUAAGAAAGGCCCGGCGCAAUUGCGGGUUUAUAAUCUUGGGAAUACCUCACCGGUGCCAGUUAGAAAGCUUGUUAAUAUUGGAGAAGUUGUUGAAGGUUAAGGCUAAUAAGGUAGUGUCGCCAAUGCCUGCAAAUGGGGAUGUGCUGUUUACUCAUGCUAAUAUUAGUUUAGCAAGGAGGGAGCUUGGUUAUAAGCCUACUACUGACUUGCAAUCAGGAUUGAAGAAAUUUGUUGCGUGGUAUCUGGAUUACUAUAAACCAUCCGGGAAGAAGAGUUCUGUCUAAAUUGGUGGAUCUGUGGUGUGAUCAUUUGAAUCUAUAUUUGAUUCUAUUCAUGUGAUUUUACACGCUUUAUCAUUUGUUAAUUAUUCAUCGUUCAUUUAGCUACACGCUGCUGUGACACAAAGGGAUUGGUCAUUCUGUCCCCAUAUAGGAAUUUAAUGGUCGUUGUGCAUGCUAAGGACCUCCAGAAAUGUAAUGAGAAACCGGAAGCAUUUCCCUUUCUCUUCUUCGUUGUUUUUUCGUUCUUUCUUUUUUCCAUCAAGAUUUUAGUCCUAGUUUAGGAUUUUUUUCAAUCAGAAUUCUGUUGCAAUUGUUAUUUUUGGUUUCAUUAAUCUUCUGUUACCUAUUCUGUUUUGUCCAUGUCAAUUUAUGACAAGAGUAGAUAGAUAUAGUAAUGUCCUUGUCUACUUUCCUCAGUUUUGCAUAAAUUAUUAAUAUGUUAGGUGCAAUUCCUGUUGUGUUUCUCAAUUAUGGGUGUUUUGGAUGCGAUUCUUUUUCUCCUUUUCUUUCUGGGUAGUGUUCGACAUUCUUAUAACUGGUUGAUGAGUCACAUUUUGGCCGGAUUCACAUAAUCCUUUCCAUUUCACUUUCCACUUUCAACGUCAUGGUAUGUUUUUGAAGAAGGCCUAGUUAAAUCUACUUGCAAUGAUUUUGUGUCUCUCUUUUGGUUGAAACCUGCGAUUUACAGGAUGUCAUAGUGAAAAACAAUGACUGUAAUUGAUGUUCCUAAGCAGAAAACUUCGAUAACCUUAACCAAUUGGAUAUGGGGUCCGAAUAGUAAAACUUUACAAAACAUCAUUUGAAAGAAGCUACACUCAGCUUCAGCUGGAAAAAGUUAAACAAUCCCAGUAACUAAAACGAUAUGAACUCGCCAAUAGAGCAAAGAGAGGGAAUAUCUCAAAGUCUAAUAUCAACUCAAGAAUCUUUAAACCUUGUUAUUUUCUCGAGAAUCUUUACACCUUGUGUUCUCAAGAAUCUUUGAACCUUGUGUUUAUUGAUGCUUUGGCCAUCUUCCUCAUGUGUGCCUAUGCAACGGUGUGUUAGGGUUUCAAAUUGGAGCCUGGAUGCGUUGGUUGUGUUUCCACGUUCCAUGCCCUUGUAUUAAGCUGUGUUUGUUUCAAUGAAUUUCUUAUAAUUUUUGGCUAGAUCGCUCUUUCUGAAAGCACCGAGAAUGUUUGUCAGUUUCGGAUGGAUGAACAAGGACCUUGAUUCUUCUAGUUUUUAAUUUUUUUUGUUCAUUUGUUGAUUUUAACAGUGUGUCGGAGGAAUGACAUCAAAUCACUGUUGUCGAUACCAGGGUGAGCAUGAUGAGUCUGGUUAAUCCGUUGCUGAUCUUUGUUCUUAUACCAUCAAGUUUGGAUGUUUAUUUUCUUUAUAUUGCCUGUGGAUUUGCUAACGAAGAAGGCAGUCUCCAACAUAUUUGUCAUAUCUCUUCAAGUUACCUGGUUUCCGAUAAUGCUUGAACUUCAGCUUUCUAAUUUGUCGUGGCAGUAAAAUAAUGUGCUCACCUUCCAUCUCAGCAAAAGUUACAGUAAGAUUAGUUCUUUUGCGUCGCCGAUCUCGUGAUCCAGAGAAGUACUUCAACCACCAAUCUUACUUCAACUACCAAUCUAAGCAAGAUAUUGUCCGAAUCUCUUGUAAAUGAGCCCGAAUCAAGUUCAUUCAGCCAUCUAUAAUUACCCUUUAAAAAAAUUAUUUUAUUUUUAAAAUAAAAUUAGCAUACUGUUAGAAGAAAAAAAAAGAAGAACAAAGUAAUGGUGUUAAAAUUUGCUUAUAACAUGAAAGUAAAACUCUCAUUCUAUGUUCCAGUUAAAAAAACUCAAGUUUAUGCUAUUAAAAAAAAAAUCUAAAACAAGUUUGUUUUUGCUAAAAAAAUAAAGUGGAUUAAUUCCUUUUCUCUUAGGUUAGCCCGUCAGUUAUAGCUAUGUUUUAUAGAUCUAAAAGGCCCAAAGACUACAAAAAUAAUACUAUUGAAAACUGUUAAUCUAAACCCAGUCCGGCCCAGACGUUAGACUAGACAACAAAAACCCUAACUCAGCAGCUCCAUCUAUAUUACAACCCUAAAUUUUCACCUCCGCUUCAUCCAUCGCUCCAAGCAGAGAAAGCCGUGUCUGUCUUAGCAUCCUCACGUCCAAAGCUCGCUUUCUGGUCUCUCUCUCUCUCCCUCUCUCUCUCCACCUUUGCUCCCUUGAUAUUUCCUUGUUAACUUUGAAGCUAUUAACUCUAACGUAGAUCCAUGACAAUAAGCUGUUAACUAAUAAUCACUUUGUUUAGUUUGUGUUUUUCAUGUUCAAUGCAUAGUUGGUUUUAGCUAAAACCCAUUUUGAUUUAUGCAUGAUAUGUUCAAAAUAUGCUGGUUAAUGAAUCAUUUUUAUCUUAGAGACUAAUAGCUGAAGAACUACAAAGCGUAGGUUGGGGUACAUUUUGAAAAGAAAAAAAAGGUUGUCGAUUUUGUGUUUGGUGAAUGACUACUUGAGUUUGUGUGAAACCCGUUUUUGCUUUAUGUUUGAGAAGUUUAACAUUUUGUUAGUUUGUAUGAUAAAAUUUAAAAAGAUAGAGAUAUGGUAGUAAAUGGAAGUGUUGUUGUUGGUUUGUUUUAAUGAAUAUGAAGUGGACAUGUGUGGUUUUGAAUGGUUUUGUGCAUUUUGAUUGUGUCAUAGAAAAGUGAAAGGAGAAAAUGGCAGCAGCUUAUGGAGCUAUGAAGGCACAAAAGCCGGGUUUGGAGGAGACUCAGGAGCAGAUUCACAAGAUCAGGAUCACUCUUUCCUCGAAGGAUGUCAAAAACCUUGAGAAAGGUCUUUUCUGUAAAUCCUAUUUUACAAUGUCGUUGUCAUUGAUACGCCACGAUUUGUUAUUUUGAGUUGUAUCCUUUUUUUUGUCCUGAUUGUUCUUUCACUUGUGUUAACAGUUUGCACUGACUUGGUCCGUGGCGCCAAGGAUAAGAGACUGAGGGUUAAGGGUCCAGUGAGAAUCCCUACCAAGGUUCUUAACAUUACCACCAGGAAAUCCCCUUGUGGUGAAGGUAUUCAUCUAAAAACUCUGCUUGUAUAAUCAUGGUUAGAUUAAUUUGCAGUGUGUGGCAUUUUGUUUUAUUAUUUACUUCAUGCGCUAUUUACAAGUCCAUGUAGUAUUCAUAUUUCUUUAAUUUCAUUUGUGCUUUCUUCUAACACAUAUCACUUCAUGGGUUCCACGUGUUUGUUAUUGUAUUUUUUUCCUUCCUCUUUGGGUAAUGUUUGAAUGGCUGAUUUGUUUGAUUUGAUAAGAGUAGUUCGAGGGAGAAAUUGAGAAGGGUUAGCAACAUUACAGUUCUUUAUAGAUAUGCUCUUUUGUUUGUUACCCUUUACAACCACUACAAUAAUCAAAUGUUGGUUUGCACGCCAUGUGCAGUCUUAUUCAGUAGUAUAAUUGGUUGGUGCAUGUGAAAUAACUUCCUAUUGAUUAAAAUGCUACUUAUUUAACUUUCUAGGUGUUCUAGUCUGAGCAUAGGACCCAGGGUGGAUCAGUUAGACCAUGUUAGUUGGUCUUGUAAUGAGAAAACAAGUCAUAAUUUGCUCUACUGUUUUCCUAGUGGUGUUUGCAUACGAGUUUGCAAAGUUGAUGUUACUUCAGAAUGACUUUUUUAGGUACAUAUGAUAUAAAUGAUUGUCCCUGUAAAGGCACUCAAUAUGUGAGCUGCUGACACCAUAAAAGAUUGGAAUUUGUUGUGUGGAGUUUUUUGUUACUUUAUCUGCCAUUUUUCUCAAGGGCUUGUUCUCUUUUGCCAGUACAUCUGUUAAGCUAAAGGGUUUUGCAUGUAUAUCUUGUCAUCUUGCAGGAACCAACACAUGGGACAGAUUCGAGCUUAGGGUCCACAAGCGUGUUAUUGAUCUCUUCAGUUCUGCUGAUGUUGUCAAGCAGAUCACCUCUAUUACAAUUGAACCUGGUGUUGAGGUUGAAGUUACCAUUGCAGAUUAGAGAGAUGCUUUUUACUUCUUUUGGACUGUUUUAUUUAUUUUACUAGAACACUUCAGGAUCUUUUUUAUCGGAAGACUUUGAUCAGCAUUGUGAGUGAAAAGAAUUCAAUGUAGUAUGUUCAUUCCCCAUUCCAUGUUAAAGAUUCUGUGAAGGAGAUUGAAUUUUGUUUCCUCUUUAUUUCAUUAUGAAUUGUUAUGAUUUCAAAGUGUUCCGGUAUUGUUUCUAGCAAGAUUAAAAAAUUAUUAUAAUUGAAUUUGUUUCACUUUGAAGUUGAUGGGAUUUAUAUCUUGAUUUUUUUCAAAAAAAAGAGAAUCAACUCCCAAGGAGAUGUACAGACAUGGCUUGAUGUUCGGAGUUUGUAAAUUAAUGAAUCCACAGCCUGCCAUUGUGUGGGCAUCAUCCAGUUCUGUUUAUGGAAAAAAGUAGCCUUUUCAGAGAUUGAUAGGACUGAUAAUCCUUCUAGUCUCUAUGCUGCUACUAAGAUGGCUGGUGAGGCUAUAGCACACACUUAUAAUCAUAUUCAUGGUUUAUCAGUCACGGGGCUGCGGUUUUUCACGGUUUAUGGUCCUUGGGGAAUGCCGGAUAUGGCUUAUUUCUUUUUUACUAGGGACAUAUUGAAAGGGAAGCGGAUUUCAGUUUGUGAAGGGCUUAAUGGGUUUACUGUUUCGAGGGAUUUUACUUGCAUUGAUGAUAUAGUGAAUGGCUGUUUAGGUGCACUGGAUACUGCUACCAAGAGUACUGGAAGUGGCGGGGCCCGGCGCAAUUGCGGGUUUAUAAUCUUGGGAAUACCUCACCGGUGCCAGUUAGAAAGCUUGUUAAUAUAUUGGAGAAGCUGUUGAAGGUUAAGGCUAAUAAGGUAGUGUCGCCAAUGCCUGCAAAUGGGGAUGUGCUGUUUACUCAUG
RNAcentral lists this long non-coding RNA (5238 nucleotides) under Populus tremula. Its description in RNAcentral is "long non-coding RNA (PTRE_LNC000766)". The record is from RNAcentral. Lineage: Eukaryota; Viridiplantae; Streptophyta; Magnoliopsida; Malpighiales; Salicaceae.